Molecule: ribosomal RNA, 465 nt
Filed under: Vreelandella stevensii
Lineage: Bacteria; Pseudomonadati; Pseudomonadota; Gammaproteobacteria; Oceanospirillales; Halomonadaceae
Description: partial 16S ribosomal RNA
Rfam family: Bacterial small subunit ribosomal RNA
Source: RNAcentral
CCUACGGGCGGCAGCAGUGGGGAUUAUUGGACAAUGGGGGCAACCCUGAUCCAGCCAUGCCGCGUGUGUGAAGAAGGCCCUCGGGUUGUAAAGCACUUUCAGUGAGGAAGAACGCCUGGUGGUUAAUACCCAUCAGGAAAGACAUCACUCACAGAAGAAGCACCGGCUAACUCCGUGCCAGCAGCCGCGGUAAUACGGAGGGUGCGAGCGUUAAUCGGAAUUACUGGGCGUAAAGCGCGCGUAGGUGGCUUGAUAAGCCGGUUGUGAAAGCCCCGGGCUCAACCUGGGAACGGCAUCCGGAACUGUCAAGCUAGAGUGCAGGAGAGGAAGGUAGAAUUCCCGGUGUAGCGGUGAAAUGCGUAGAGAUCGGGAGGAAUACCAGUGGCGAAGGCGGCCUUCUGGACUGACACUGACACUGAGGUGCGAAAGCGUGGGUAGCAAACAGGAUUAGAUACCCGAGUAGUC